RNAcentral lists this ribosomal RNA (2416 nucleotides) under Escherichia coli. RNAcentral's name for it is "partial 23S ribosomal RNA". It matches the Rfam family "Bacterial large subunit ribosomal RNA", at positions 548 to 2925 of the family's 2925-position model. Lineage: Bacteria; Pseudomonadati; Pseudomonadota; Gammaproteobacteria; Enterobacterales; Enterobacteriaceae. The record is from RNAcentral.
ACCUGAAACCGUGUACGUACAAGCAGUGGGAGCACAGAGCAAUCUGUGUGACUGCGUACCUUUUGUAUAAUGGGUCAGCGACUUAUAUUCUGUAGCAAGGUUAACCGAAUAGGGGAGCCGAAGGGAAACCGAGUCUUAACUGGGCGUUAAGUUGCAGGGUAUAGACCCGAAACCCGGUGAUCUAGCCAUGGGCAGGUUGAAGGUUGGGUAACACUAACUGGAGGACCGAACCGACUAAUGUUGAAAAAUUAGCGGAUGACUUGUGGCUGGGGGUGAAAGGCCAAUCAAACCGGGAGAUAGCUGGUUCUCCCCGAAAGCUAUUUAGGUAGCGCCUCGUGAAUUCAUCUCCGGGGGUAGAGCACUGUUUCGGCAAGGGGGUCAUCCCGACUUACCAACCCGAUGCAAACUGCGAAUACCGGAGAAUGUUAUCACGGGAGACACACGGCGGGUGCUAACGUCCGUCGUGAAGAGGGAAACAACCCAGACCGCCAGCUAAGGUCCCAAAGUCAUGGUUAAGUGGGAAACGAUGUGGGAAGGCCCAGACAGCCAGGAUGUUGGCUUAGAAGCAGCCAUCAUUUAAAGAAAGCGUAAUAGCUCACUGGUCGAGUCGGCCUGCGCGGAAGAUGUAACGGGGCUAAACCAUGCACCGAAGCUGCGGCAGCGACACUGUGUGUUGUUGGGUAGGGGAGCGUUCUGUAAGCCUGUGAAGGUGUGCUGUGAGGCAUGCUGGAGGUAUCAGAAGUGCGAAUGCUGACAUAAGUAACGAUAAAGCGGGUGAAAAGCCCGCUCGCCGGAAGACCAAGGGUUCCUGUCCAACGUUAAUCGGGGCAGGGUGAGUCGACCCCUAAGGCGAGGCCGAAAGGCGUAGUCGAUGGGAAACAGGUUAAUAUUCCUGUACUUGGUGUUACUGCGAAGGGGGGACGGAGAAGGCUAUGUUGGCCGGGCGACGGUUGUCCCGGUUUAAGCGUGUAGGCUGGUUUUCCAGGCAAAUCCGGAAAAUCAAGGCUGAGGCGUGAUGACGAGGCACUACGGUGCUGAAGCAACAAAUGCCCUGCUUCCAGGAAAAGCCUCUAAGCAUCAGGUAACAUCAAAUCGUACCCCAAACCGACACAGGUGGUCAGGUAGAGAAUACCAAGGCGCUUGAGAGAACUCGGGUGAAGGAACUAGGCAAAAUGGUGCCGUAACUUCGGGAGAAGGCACGCUGAUAUGUAGGUGAAGUCCCUCGCGGAUGGAGCUGAAAUCAGUCGAAGAUACCAGCUGGCUGCAACUGUUUAUUAAAAACACAGCACUGUGCAAACACGAAAGUGGACGUAUACGGUGUGACGCCUGCCCGGUGCCGGAAGGUUAAUUGAUGGGGUCAGCGCAAGCGAAGCUCUUGAUCGAAGCCCCGGUAAACGGCGGCCGUAACUAUAACGGUCCUAAGGUAGCGAAAUUCCUUGUCGGGUAAGUUCCGACCUGCACGAAUGGCGUAAUGAUGGCCAGGCUGUCUCCACCCGAGACUCAGUGAAAUUGAACUCGCUGUGAAGAUGCAGUGUACCCGCGGCAAGACGGAAAGACCCCGUGAACCUUUACUAUAGCUUGACACUGAACAUUGAGCCUUGAUGUGUAGGAUAGGUGGGAGGCUUUGAAGUGUGGACGCCAGUCUGCAUGGAGCCGACCUUGAAAUACCACCCUUUAAUGUUUGAUGUUCUAACGUGGACCCGUGAUCCGGGUUGCGGACAGUGUCUGGUGGGUAGUUUGACUGGGGCGGUCUCCUCCUAAAGAGUAACGGAGGAGCACGAAGGUUGGCUAAUCCUGGUCGGACAUCAGGAGGUUAGUGCAAUGGCAUAAGCCAGCUUGACUGCGAGCGUGACGGCGCGAGCAGGUGCGAAAGCAGGUCAUAGUGAUCCGGUGGUUCUGAAUGGAAGGGCCAUCGCUCAACGGAUAAAAGGUACUCCGGGGAUAACAGGCUGAUACCGCCCAAGAGUUCAUAUCGACGGCGGUGUUUGGCACCUCGAUGUCGGCUCAUCACAUCCUGGGGCUGAAGUAGGUCCCAAGGGUAUGGCUGUUCGCCAUUUAAAGUGGUACGCGAGCUGGGUUUAGAACGUCGUGAGACAGUUCGGUCCCUAUCUGCCGUGGGCGCUGGAGAACUGAGGGGGGCUGCUCCUAGUACGAGAGGACCGGAGUGGACGCAUCACUGGUGUUCGGGUUGUCAUGCCAAUGGCACUGCCCGGUAGCUAAAUGCGGAAGAGAUAAGUGCUGAAAGCAUCUAAGCACGAAACUUGCCCCGAGAUGAGUUCUCCCUGACCCUUUAAGGGUCCUGAAGGAACGUUGAAGACGACGACGUUGAUAGGCCGGGUGUGUAAGCGCAGCGAUGCGUUGAGCUAACCGGUACUAAUGAACCGUGAGGCUUAACCUUACAACGCCGAAGGUGUUU